GCCGAAGUGGCGGAACUGGCAGACGCGCUGGACUCAAAAUCCAGUGCCCUCCGGGGCGUGUGGGUUCGAUUCCCACCUUCGGCA
Molecule: transfer RNA, 84 nt
Filed under: Actinomycetota bacterium
Lineage: Bacteria; Bacillati; Actinomycetota
Description: tRNA-Leu
Rfam family: tRNA
About the family: Transfer RNA (tRNA) molecules are approximately 80 nucleotides in length. Their secondary structure includes four short double-helical elements and three loops (D, anti-codon, and T loops).
Source: RNAcentral